Molecule: ribosomal RNA, 626 nt
Filed under: Escherichia coli
Lineage: Bacteria; Pseudomonadati; Pseudomonadota; Gammaproteobacteria; Enterobacterales; Enterobacteriaceae
Description: partial 23S ribosomal RNA
Rfam family: Bacterial large subunit ribosomal RNA
Source: RNAcentral
AGGUAUGCUGGAGGUAUCAGAAGUGCGAAUGCUGACAUAAGUAACGAUAAAGCGGGUGAAAAGCCCGCUCGCCGGAAGACCAAGGGUUCCUGUCCAACGUUAAUCGGGGCAGGGUGAGUCGACCCCUAAGGCGAGGCCGAAAGGCGUAGUCGAUGGGAAACAGGUUAAUAUUCCUGUACUUGGUGUUACUGCGAAGGGGGGACGGAGAAGGCUAUGUUGGCCGGGCGACGGUUGUCCCGGUUUAAGCGUGUAGGCUGGUUUUCCAGGCAAAUCCGGAAAAUCAAGGCUGAGGCGUGAUGACGAGGCACUACGGUGCUGAAGCAACAAAUGCCCUGCUUCCAGGAAAAGCCUCUAAGCAUCAGGUAACAUCAAAUCGUACCCCAAACCGACACAGGUGGUCAGGUAGAGAAUACCAAGGCGCUUGAGAGAACUCGGGUGAAGGAACUAGGCAAAAUGGUGCCGUAACUUCGGGAGAAGGCACGCUGAUAUGUAGGUGAAGUCCCUCGCGGAUGGAGCUGAAAUCAGUCGAAGAUACCAGCUGGCUGCAACUGUUUAUUAAAAACACAGCACUGUGCAAACACGAAAGUGGACGUAUACGGUGUGACGCCUGCCCGGUGCCGGAAGGU